This 493-nucleotide ribosomal RNA is filed under the name uncultured fungus. Its description in RNAcentral is "SSU rRNA". It matches the Rfam family "Eukaryotic small subunit ribosomal RNA", at positions 569 to 1067 of the family's 1831-position model. The record is from RNAcentral. Lineage: Eukaryota; Fungi.
AGCAGCCGCGGUAAUUCCAGCUCCAAUAGCGUAUAUUAAAGUUGUUGCAGCUAAAAAGCUCGCAGUUGAACUUCGGGAUCAAUUGAUUGGUCAUGCCUUGGUAUGUACUGUUCAUAUUGGUUCUCACCUUCUAAUGAACCAUAAUGUCAUUUAUUUGAUGUUAUGGGGAAUUAGGACUGUUACCUUGAAAAAAUUAGAGUGUUUAAAGCAGGCUCACGCUUGAAUACAUUAGCAUGGAAUAAUGAAAUAGGACAUCGCAUUCUAUUUUGUUGGUUUCUAGGAUCGAUGUAAUGAUUAAUAGGGAUAGUUGGGGGCAUUAGUAUUCAAUUGUCAGAGGUGAAAUUCUUGGAUUUAUUGAAGACUAACUACUGCGAAAGCAUUUGCCAAGGAUGUUUUCAUUAAUCAAGAACGAAAGUUAGGGGAUCGAAGACGAUCAGAUACCGUCGUAGUCUUAACCAUAAACUAUGCCGACUAGGGAUCGGAUGAUGUUGUU